ACUUCCGAGGGGCGGCGCGAACGGCAAUGGCGGUCCUCUUCUGAACGGGAGAGGAGGCUCCGCAGAAAACGGGUCGUCCGCUACGGCGAAGCGGAGACCCACUCCGGAAAACCCCAGGCAGCAAGAGCUUGGGGUCCUGAGGCUCGGUGGGCGCCUUAAGUGACCCUCCAAACGCAGAAGGAACCUCGUAAGGGGCUCCGGAGCGUGGAGGGGGGUUGCGGCGCUGAGAGCUGCUUCACAGUCUGCGGAGUGAAGCCGCGCUGCUGCUGCCGGUGAGCGCUGAUCCUUUUUCCUGCUAAAACACGGAUUCGGACGAAAAGCAACUUACUCGUGAGUAAAGACUGAAUCACUUGAAAUCAGAGACUUUAUAUGAAAAACCUUAAAUUGGCUUGAACUUGGCUGAAAGCGGAGAGACGUGGAAACAGGAAGUCCGUCUUCCGCAGCCAUUGAACUUGAAAAAAGCAACUAAGUUGGAGGAGUGGAGGCUGAAAGGAAGAGAUUUUAAACUUUACAGAUCUAAGCAUCUACUGAACCUGCAAUUUAAAGUAAAGACUUUAAGCUAAAGACUUGGAAUUUUAACUUGCACUUGACAUUUCCCCUUUUAUUGGAUUAUAAAUUAGAAGGUGAAACCCAGAGUCAGGAGCUGCCUGAGCAUUGAGAAAUUGAGCUGUCAGUAUUGCAGAUUUGGAUACUGUAUAUUGGAACUUGCAACAAUCUGAGGGUAUUGAGACUUUUUAAAUUUGAAACAUUCUUUUUGGAGAUAAAUAAGCACUGUCUGUAACAAAGUGACUACUUAUAAACUCUGCUAAAUAUUUAUAUUUGAAGGUUCUUGGACAUUAAAUUAGACUCUGAAAGACAUUUUAAGCUCCCUCUAGAGGACUGGAUGAAAACAGUGACUUUACAUUUACAUUUACUUUCGAUUCCCUUGUUGUUUACUUGCUCUGGGCCUUUCUAUUCCCAUGGGAAAAACUCAGUGUGACCUUGACUGAUAGACAACGUUGGAAUGAGUGGCACAAGGAAAAGAGGGAGAGUUAGACAAACAACUUUAACAACUCUAACCUCAGCCUCGCAGACACGUAGAUCAUCUGUACCUACUUUGCCCUCAGAAGUAGAACUUGAAGAAGUUGCCUUGCCACAGGCAAAAGAGGGAGAGGGUGAAGCAGAGCAGUUACAAUUGGAAGAUAUGGCCUCAGGAGUAUCUGUUUCUGUUCUAGACAAAAUCUUUGAAAAAUUGGAAGCUUUGGACAAGAAAGUAGAUGCGCAAUCAGCAAAGAUUGACAAAAAUACAGAAUGUCUAAAUAAAUUAACCAUACAAGUUGUACAGAAUACACAAGCAAUUGGACAGUUAACGGAGGCCUCAGCAGAAAAUCGGAAAUUGGCUGAGGAUACUAGACAAAAAUUGGAAAAUUUAGAGCAAGAGGUAAGGCCACUCACCAAACAAGUUGGGGAACAUCAGACUUAUCUUUCCAUGAUAGAAUUGCGAAAUCGUGAGAAUAAUUUGAGGAUUAGAUCAUUACAAGAGGCAGAAGAAGGAAAUUUAACUGAGUUUUUGACCAAAGAAUUUUCCAAGUUCUGGAAUUUGGAAGAAAAGGAUUUUAAAAUUGUGUCGGCUUUCAGACUUGGAAGAUUCACAAAGAAGGAGAGGCCCAGAGACUGUUUGAUUACAUUGAGAUCAAAGGAGGAAAGGGAUAAGAUUUUGGGCCUACAUUACGGAAAGUCACUGGAGGUUUUGGACAGAAGAAUUGAAAUUUAUAAAGAUAUUCCAAGACAACUGCUGGAUCUUAGAGCCGCCUAUUCUGAACUUGCUAAACUACUAAGGAGCAACGCAAUUCCAUUCAGGUGGGAAUUUCCACAAGGAAUAUCUUUUACCUUUAAAGGGAGAAAGGUCAAAGUUAGAACAUUGGAAGAGAGAGACAAAUUUUUGGCUACAUACGGAGAGGACCUUCAAAAGGAACUGAAUUACCCUCUGGGCCUGGGGCAACGCCAGCAUUAACACCAGCACCUGGGGAACUUGAAGAUCCAGAGAAGACACCACCCCUGGAGAAAUAACCAGAUAGAUCCAGGAUGUCUCUGCAAUUGCUGAGUUGGAACAUUAAUGGUUGUAACAUUCCGGAAAAAAGGAAGAAAAUAUUUCAUAUAUUAAAAAAAGAACAAUUGGACAUUAUCUGUUUACAAGAAACACAUGUGACGAGGCUCCACAGAAAAGUGUUAAUAAAUAAAAGAUUGGGCCAGGAAUUUGUUUCGUCGGACAAAGUUAAGAAGAGAGGCGUGGUGAUAUAUGCAAAGAGAGCCUGUCACCUAAAUUCUUAUUUAAAGAUGAACAUGGAAGAAUUUUGGCCAUUGAGAUACAAUAUCAAGGAGAGAAACUGUUGAUAUUAGGAAUCUAUGCACCUAACGAAGGGAAAUCGGAAUUUUACAAGAAGCUGCAGGGGACAAUGCUGGAAUAUCUGGAUUACAACAACAUCAUAAUGAUGGGAGACAUGAACGGGGUCGUGUCAACUAAUAUGGACAAGUCACAAAGUCAAAAUGUUACAAAAGACGGCAGACUACCUAAAACUUUUUUUGAAAUGACUGACAAUAUGGAUUUGAUUGACAUUUGGAGGACAAAGAACCCACUAGGUAGAGAAGGAACAUUCUUUUCUGAAGCCCAACUGACCUGGACAAGAAUCGACCAAAUAUGGAUUUCCAGAGGCCUGGCACCUAAGGUCAGAAAAGUGGAAAUCUGCCCAAAGACCUGUUCUGACCACAAUGCAGUAAAGAUGGAUAUGACACUACUACCAACUGGAUCCUUUAGAUGGAAGAUGAAUGACAAUUUGUUUAGAGAUCAGGAAAUUACCAAGAAGGCCCAAAAAGUUUUGAAGGACUAUUUUGAGAUAAACAUGAACAAUUCGGUGGAAAAAGAAUCGUCUGGGACGCAAGCAAAGCUGUAAUGAGGGGAUUCUUGAUACAACAGAAUGUAGUAAAGAAAAGAACACAAAAUGAGAAAAAAGAUAAGAUCUUGGAC
RNAcentral lists this long non-coding RNA (3004 nucleotides) under Podarcis lilfordi (Lilford's wall lizard). The record is from RNAcentral. Lineage: Eukaryota; Metazoa; Chordata; Lepidosauria; Squamata; Lacertidae.